AUUGAACGCUGGCGGCAGGCCUAACACAUGCAAGUCGAACGAGCGGCGGACGGGUGAGUAAUGUAUGGGAAACUGCCCGAUGGAGGGGGAUAACUACUGGAAACGGUAGCUAAUACCGCAUACCAUCGGAUGUGCCCAGAUGGGAUUAGCUAGUAGGUGGGGUAACGGCUUACCUAGGCGACGAUCCCUAGCUGGUCUGAGAGGAUGACCAGCCACACUGGGACUGAGACACGGCCCAGACUCCUACGGGAGGCAGCAGUGGGGAAUAUUGCACAAUGGGCGCAAGCCUGAUGCAGCCAUGCCGCGUGUAUGAAGAAGGCCCUCGGGUUGUAAAGUACUUUCAGCGGGGAGGCGUUACCCACAGAAGAAGCACCGGCUAACUCCGUGCCAGCAGCCGCGGUAAUAC
RNAcentral lists this ribosomal RNA (406 nucleotides) under uncultured bacterium. Its description in RNAcentral is "partial 16S ribosomal RNA". It matches the Rfam family "Bacterial small subunit ribosomal RNA", at positions 30 to 526 of the family's 1533-position model. The record is from RNAcentral.